Molecule: RNA transcript, 1949 nt
Organism: Homo sapiens (human)
Lineage: Eukaryota; Metazoa; Chordata; Mammalia; Primates; Hominidae
Exons: 2
Source: RefSeq, a predicted model, not a curated record
CGUGGAGGCCUGGGCUGCGGGUCCCCGACCGUGUGAGCAGCCGGUGGCCAUCUGUCCCGGCCCGAGUGGAGAAAGCGCAUCUGCCUGCGGAAGGUCCACGUGCUGCUGGGCGAGGCUGGCGAGAGCCGUCACACACACGCGGGGCCGCUGGCGGCAGAUGGACGUUUCCGAAGGGAGCCGGCAGGAGCCUGACGUCUGCCCUCUGAGGCCAGGGCCUCCCCCGUCACUAUUUUCUCACGGUACCGAAGCGAAAGUUGCCUGCAAUACCUCUUAGACUAGGUUGAAGUCCUGAAUUCAGGCUGCAGCCCUCAAUCAACAGAACUUCUGCCCAGGUGCUGCCAAGAUUUUGGGGAGAACAAGAGGCCCUUGCCCGGCGUGUCCAGAGCAAGUGGCAUCAUGCCCACGAUGGCGCAGGGUCAUGGGAUGUGGCCCGAGGAGCCCAUAACUGGCACCGGUCAACAAGAGCCCCAGAGACACAGGGUGGGCCUGCCAGGGACCCUCAGGGACCACCAGGGCCUGGAGGCUCCAGCGUAGACGAGCUGGGCGGCUCUGGACGGCAGGGGAUGGGGCCCCCUGUGCAUGGCCCCUGGCAAGGUGCCUGGCUGGCCGUCCAUCCGUGGGGUGAGCUCGGCCCAGGCGGGCAGGGUCCCUCCAGGUGGGCAUGAGUGUUGCUGGCUCCCGAGCCUUGGAGAAGCUCUGCCCAUUCCACAGCCGUCAGGCCGGGGGCCAGAGGGAAGCCGCUCCUUCCCGGCCCGAGGCUGCCCCUCAGGAGCCCACUCGGCCGAUGCCACCUUGUCAGUCCAGCCAGCGGGGCCUCCCCUGUGGCCUUCAAAGCCACAGGCCUCUUUCUAGAAACCUCUUUGCAGUUCAUUUGUGGCGAUUUAUCCCUGGAUGGGUUCUCAUGGAUUCUAUCCUUCUUCUCCACCCGACUUUUCUCUAGGUCAAGUGCUGACCCCAGCCAGGCAGAGGCAAAGAUGCCCCGACGCACAGCCUGUCCUGCCCGUGACCGCAUCCACCCUGGGGACCCAUGUUUGGCCCAGAGGCUCGAGCACAGGUGGCCGCGUCCCACGGGAGCGUCAAGCCAUGAGUCUUGGUCGUCCCCUUGGGACCAAGGAGAAGCAGUGACUCCGUGGCCCCCACCAGCUGCGGCUCCGACAUCCUUCCAGGAGGCAGGCAGGGUCCCGACUGCAUUUCAGGCACCUGCCUGGCCGCGUUCCGGCUGCCCUGACCUUCCCUGCAGACUUGUGGCCUGCUGGGGUCAGAGAGCACCAGUGACCGCUCCACCCCUUGCAGACAAGGAAGCUGAGGCUGAGGGACAUGGGGACCCUGCCAGUGGGGACGCGGGAAGCAGGGCUGGCUUUGCUCCUGGCAAGCUCUACCCCAGACCGACACAGAGAAAGCAGUUUCCCUUUCUCAACAGAACACACUUGAGGCCCGGAAGCAAGUGGAUCUGUGCAGGAGGGUGGGGACGGGAAUGGCACAGGGGUGCAGGCGCUGCCUCGGUGUCUUCCGGCCCUCGGUCCCAGCUCGGGGUCCCUCCCAGGUUGGCUCAGAGGCCGCUGCCCCAGCAGCCUGCAUUUGUGUGCCAAGCCCUCCUCACUCAGCAAUGACUGGCUGCCUGUGGUGGGGGCCGAGCAGGGCGUUCUCCGCAUUUACAGAACAAGUAAACUGAGGCUCCAGCCCCUGCCGCCACUACCAGAGGAGUCAGAGGCUCCUGGGGAGCAGACCGUGGCUGCCCAACCAGGCUGGGAGCAGAAAAGAGGGAGGGAUCUUUGGAGCGGCUGAGGGUGCGGCCUGGAGCCCUGGCAGCCCCGCUCAUCCCAAACGCUGCUACGUGUGCAGAACCCCGCGGGGAGCAGAUGACGGCCACGCGGUGUUACAAAGCUUUCUGUAAAUAUUUUAUUUUCCAUAUUUUAGAGUCAGAAAGAAGCGCUUGGUAAUAAAAAUAA